GACGAACGCUGGCGGCGUGCUUAACACAUGCAAGUCGAACGGAAAGGCCUCUUUCGGGGGGUACUCGAGUGGCGAACGGGUGAGUAACACGUGAGUAACCUGCCCUUGACUUUGGGUUAACUUCCGGAAACUGGGGCUAAUACCGGAUAGGAGCUCCUGCUGCCUGGUGGGGGUUGGAAAGUUUCGGCGGUUGGGGAUGGACUCGCGGCUUAUCCGCUUGUUGGUGGGGUAGUGGCUUACCAAGGCUUUGACGGGUAGCCGGUCAGAGAGGGUGACCGGCCACAUUGGGACUGAGAUACGGCCCAGACUCCUACGGGAGGCAGCAGUGGGGAAUAUUGCACAAUGGGUGGAAGCCUGAUGCAGCAACGCCGUGUGCGGGAUGACGGCCUUCGGGUUGUAAACCGCUUUCGCUCAUGACGAAGCUUUGUGUGACGGUAGUGGGUAAAGAAGCACCGGCUUACUACGUG
Molecule: ribosomal RNA, 467 nt
Filed under: uncultured bacterium
Lineage: Bacteria
Description: partial 16S ribosomal RNA
Rfam family: Bacterial small subunit ribosomal RNA
Source: RNAcentral